UCUAGUACACUCCCAAUUGCGUAUAUACUCCCUCAUUCAAAAGACUUACUUUGUAGGAUUUUUUCAAUCUAAAAUUUGGGAAUCACCUAAGAAUCACUAGAUGAUUAUUUUCAAAAGAAAUUUCAGUGUUUGGCAUUUAGAUCUGACCCUUUAAAAAAUGGGAAAAUAUAGAAUGAGACAAUAUGCCUUUUAUACAAGGUGGCCACAAUAAUCUUGACCAAGGUCAAACUUCAAAAAGAAAUUUUCUCAAACUUUGUCACACAUCCAAGCGAUCAAAGUUCACAUCAAAUAGUUGUAGAGAAUUGUGACCAUCUUGUGGUAAACGGUCUCAUUGUAUACAAUCCCAUAAAAAUUCGAC
RNAcentral lists this long non-coding RNA (358 nucleotides) under Amborella trichopoda. RNAcentral's name for it is "long non-coding RNA (ATRI_LNC000601)". The record is from RNAcentral. Lineage: Eukaryota; Viridiplantae; Streptophyta; Magnoliopsida; Amborellales; Amborellaceae.